Molecule: long non-coding RNA, 875 nt
Organism: Ornithodoros turicata
Lineage: Eukaryota; Metazoa; Arthropoda; Arachnida; Ixodida; Argasidae
Exons: 2
Source: RefSeq, a predicted model, not a curated record
UAUAAAGGUACAAAUCUCGAUGUGUAGUGUGACACUCUUGUUCGAGGAGUCCAGUUCAUUAUGUGCCAAAAUCUGGCACGUGAUCUCUGCGGCAUUUCGCGUCUGUAACGCUGUACUGUCCUACCGUGCAUAUCUAUAACAAAGUGCAUCACAAUCGCAAUCGCAAUCACCAUGGCAUAAUAGCCGGCAGCGAACACAAUGUGUACAUCCUGCUGAUGAUAACCCAUAGGUGGGGGAAGCGGACAACAGACGCCAUUCAGCCUACUUGGCACUGCCGAAGAAAUCGGCCAUGAAAAACACACUACGGUCGGCAAUAACCCCAGCAAGCAAGGAUACAACCAUAGGAGAGAUUCUACACGAGUCCCCUAGGUUGAAAGGCAAAGGUCCUUCAGUUGCACUAGUAUCCGGCAGUGACCACAGGAAUGUAGGCUCGUCGGAAUGUCCAGGACCAUCUUCAGGACGAUGGCAUGGCGGUGCCCCCUCUUACAGCCGUACUGAGGGGGAUGCAGAGGGGAACAUAGUCCGAAGGACAUCGGAAGAUCCUGUGAAGGCAUGGAGUGUAAGAGGGGAGCCGCCGUCAAGUUCGGCUUUCAUGUCAGAAGUCGUGCAAGUAUUACCUGAAGAUGGUGAUCUCCAAAGUGUGACAUCAAAUCCUGCUGUAUCAUAUUCUACACUGAGUAAUGAAAGGACUGCUUCAUCCAGUAAAGGUGGUCCUGUGCGAAGCAGCGGUGUGCACAUGAACGCACAAGAGAGGCGGGUUUUGCAGUACGCCACCGCAUUCCUUGUUUUGGUCCUCAUCGUGGCAACAGUGAUCUUGUUCCGGGAAACCUCGGUUUUAUGACACAAUAGUUGCAAUACAUAUUGGAAAUUAGUAA